AAAGAGCCGUCCCCGUGCUCCCUUUUUUUCACCGGUUUCAGUCCCUCCUUCGCCGCCACCGCCGUCACCUCCCAUUCCCCUCUGCUCUAAUCGCUACUUAACUAAAUCCAUCCUUUCUGUCUGAAUCCUCCUAAAAUUUUACCCAACCCAAGAUCCCAGAUCGAGUGAGGAUGAAUUUUGCGGGCAAGUGAUCGGGGGUAAAUCUUCAUCCUUUUCUUGCUGAUAUCUUCGUCUUUAUUUUCCAUUUCGGCUUAAAUUGUUUGAUAAUUAGGAGGGAACGGGUCUGUCUCUGUUUCUGGUUCUAGGUUGUUGAGUUUCCAAUCAAUAUUUGUUAAAUCAAAGCUUUUGGGCUGGCUAAUUAACUUGAAUUAUUGGGGUUAUUGCAUUUCAUUUGCAUGUGGCUAGCUGCUGUGACGACUAGGAGUUGUAGGUAUUUUGGUUGUAAUGCUAAAACGAGUGAGAUUCGGUUGGCUUUGAAGCAAACCCAUUACUUUUUCCUAACUAUUCCUUUUGGAGGAUUAGAGUGCAAGCCUGGCACCACAGAAUUUGCGGUUCAGAAAUCCCAACUGAGUUGGGAAGGGACUUGUCAAUUGGCACUACAAGAUAAAAUGGAUACUUCAACGAGAGCUUCCCUGGAGUCACUGAUACACCACAAGAUAAAAUGGAUACUUCAACGAGAGCUUCCCUGGAGUCACUGAUACUUGGAAUGAGAUUCUGUACAAUAUUUUUAUCUAGAAUGAUUCAUGUUAUAGCAGACAACUAAUUCCCAGGUCCUCAUUCCUAGUUGAAUUCAUUACUGUGAUGAGGACAUUAGGAAAUUUAGUUAGAGUUGUUAUGUCUAACAUUAAUUAGAAGACAUGACAUAUGAUUGCAUACAUCGAAAUCUGGCAAACUGAUCAAUAAUUUAGUUUUUAGAGUAAGUAAUGCACCUCCAGAUUCUCAUAUAGGAAGCUUCCCUGUUCUAGAGUAACAUAGAUUCUCAUAUAGGAAGCUUCCCUGUUCUAGAGUAACCAAAAAUGCAAGCUUGGGAUUUCUGGACUUCUAAAUGCUUAAUGUUAUCUUAAUCCUUUCCUCUAACUAGUAUUUUUUUGCUGUCAUUUUGCACUUAAUGAGAUCUGAAUUUUUUUUUCUAUUCUUUGGUGCAAUGAAUAUUAGGUACUUGUUCCAAUGGAAGGAGAAGAAGAGCACAAUGUUGAGCGAGUUUCAUCAACAGAUUCUAUACCUGAAAGUGGAGAGGCUACCGGAGAAAGUUCAGCCAAGCGAAUUAGG
Molecule: long non-coding RNA, 1269 nt
Filed under: Coffea arabica (coffee)
Lineage: Eukaryota; Viridiplantae; Streptophyta; Magnoliopsida; Gentianales; Rubiaceae
Description: long non-coding RNA (CARA_LNC003818)
Source: RNAcentral